This 660-nucleotide ribosomal RNA is filed under the name Pseudomonas sp. PNP. Its description in RNAcentral is "bacterial SSU rRNA". It matches the Rfam family "Bacterial small subunit ribosomal RNA", at positions 124 to 778 of the family's 1533-position model. The record is from RNAcentral. Lineage: Bacteria; Pseudomonadati; Pseudomonadota; Gammaproteobacteria; Pseudomonadales; Pseudomonadaceae.
AUCUGCCUGGGACUGGGGGACCCCGUUUCGAAAGGGACGCUCGUACCGCAUACGUCCUACGGGAGAAAGCAGGGGACCUUCGGGCCUUGCGCUAUCAGAUGAGCCUAGGUCGGAUUAACUAGUUGGUGAGGUAAUGGCUCACCAAGGCGUACGAUCCGUAACUGGUCUGAGAGGAUGAUCAGUCACACUGGAACUGACCCAGGUUCAACUCUAAUACGGGAGGCAGCAGUGGGGAAUAUUGGACAAUGGGCGAAAGCCUGAUCCAGCCAUGCCGCGUGUGUGAAGAAGGUCUUCGGAUUGUAAAGCACUUUAAGUUGGGAGGAAGGGCAGUAAGUUAAUACCUUGCUGUUUUGACGUUACCGACAGAAUGAGCACCGGCUAACUCUGUGCCAGCAGCCGCGGUAAUACAGAGGGUGCAAGCGUUAAUCGGAAUUACUGGGCGUAAAGCGCGCGUAGGUGGUUCGUUAAGUUGGAUGUGAAAGCCCCGGGCUCAACCUGGGAACUGCAUCCAAAACUGGCGAGCUAGAGUACGGUAGAGGGUGGUGGAAUUUCCUGUGUAGCGGUGAAAUGCGUAGAUAUAGGAAGGAACACCAGUGGCGAAGGCGACCACCUGGACUGAUACUGACACUGAGGUGCGAAAGCGUGGGGAGCAAACAGGAU